Molecule: long non-coding RNA, 229 nt
Organism: Arabidopsis thaliana (thale cress)
Lineage: Eukaryota; Viridiplantae; Streptophyta; Magnoliopsida; Brassicales; Brassicaceae
Product: other RNA
Exons: 1
Source: RefSeq
GUUUUGUUUCUCUUUAAACUGAUGAAAUGUAUUUGUGUUUUUUCAUAUAAUCGAAGAGACGAACCGAUGGACUUCUUCCUGUAUUAAUGGUUUAUGUAGAUAAAGCCAUUUUGAACAUGAGGAAAACAAAUGGUUGUUGAUGUUUUCGUAUCUUCUUUUGAAGCCUUGCUGAUGUAAUCUAUCAGCUACUUACUAAGGCCCAUUUGAGACUCUCCUCAUGACUGUUCUG